Molecule: ribosomal RNA, 450 nt
Filed under: uncultured bacterium
Lineage: Bacteria
Description: bacterial SSU rRNA
Rfam family: Bacterial small subunit ribosomal RNA
Source: RNAcentral
AACGAACGCUGGCGGCAUGCCUAACACAUGCAAGUCGAGCGCCCGUAGCAAUACGGGAGCGGCGCACGGGUGAGUAACGCGUGGGAACCUGCCAAGAGGUUCGGGACAACCGCGGGAAACUGCGGCUGAUACCGGAUGAUACCUGAGGGUCAAAGAUUUAUCGCCUUUGGAGGGGCCCGCGUCGGAUUAGGUAGUUGGUGGGGUAACGGCCUACCAAGCCUAUGAUCCGUAACUGGUCUGAGAGGAUGACCAGUCACACUGGGACUGAGACACGGCCCAGACUCCUACGGGAGGCAGCAGUGGGGAGUAUUGGACAAUGGGGGGCAACCCUGAUCCAGCAAUGCCGCGUGGGUGAUGAAGGCCUUCGGGUUGUAAAGCCUUUCGGCGGGACGAUGAUGACGGUACCCGCAGAAGAAGCCCGGCUAACUUCGUGCCAGCAGCCGCGGUAAU